This 1364-nucleotide ribosomal RNA is filed under the name metagenome. RNAcentral's name for it is "bacterial SSU rRNA". It matches the Rfam family "Archaeal small subunit ribosomal RNA". The record is from RNAcentral.
UACCACCGGCGAAUCGCUCAGUAACACGUCGUUAACCUGCCUUUUGGUCUGGGAUAGCCUUGGGAAACUGAGGGUAAAACCGGAUAGGGGAGUUCUUCUGGUCGAUUUCUCCUUUAAAAGUAAUGCCAAAAGAUGGGACGGCGGCGGAUUAGGUUGUUGGUGAGGUAAUGGCUCACCAAGCCCAAGAUCCGUACGGGCCUUGAGAGAGGUAGCCCGGAGAAGGACACUGAGAUACUGGUCCUAGCCCCACGGGGUGCAGCAGCCGCGAAACCUUUACAAUGCACGAAAGUGUGAUAAGGGAAUCCUGAGUGCUCAUGCAAUGCAUGGGCUUUUGCCAAGAGUAAAAACCUUGGAGAAUAAGUGGUGGGUAAGACUGGUGCCAGCCGCCGCGGUAACACCAGCGCCACGAGUGGGAGCCACGUUUAUUGGGCCUAAAGCGUCCGUAGCCUGUUCUGUAAUCCUUUGUGAAAUCGACAAGCUCAACUUGCCGGCAUGCUUGGGACACUGCAGAACUUGAGACCGGGAGGGGUAUGGAGUAUUCUGGGGGGAGCGGUAAAAUGCUAUAAUCCCUAGAAGACUACCUGUGGCGAAGGCGCCAUACCAGAACGGAUCUGACGGUGAGGGACGAAGGCUAGGGGAGCGAUCCGGAUUAGAUACCCGAGUAGUCCUAGCAGUAAACUCUGUCAGCUAGGUGUUGCAUAUUCUACGCGAAUAUGCAGUGUCGUAGUGAAGAUGAUAAGCUGACCGCCUGGGAAGUAUGGUCGCAAGACUGAAACUUAAAGGAAUUGGCGGGGGAGCACUACAAGGGGUGCGGCGUGCGGUUUAAUCCAAUUCAACACGGAAAAUCUCACCAGAGGCGACGGCAGGAUGAAGGUCAGGUUGAAGACUUUACCAGACAAGCCGAGAGGUAGUGCAUGGCCGCCGUCAGCUCGUGCCGUAAGGUGUCCUGUUAAGUCAGGCAACGAGCGAGACCUGUGCCCAUAAUUGCCAGCAACUCUAUAGGAGGUUUGGGCACAUUAUGGGAACUGCCCUGGAAACAGGGAGGAAGGUGCAGGCUACGGUAGGUCUGUAUGCUCCGAAUCUUCUGGGCUACACGCGCGCAACAAUGGUAAGGACAAAGGGAUACAACUCCGUAAGGAGAAGUUAAACCUCUAAACCUUAUCUUAGUACAGAUUGAGGGCUGUAACUCGCCCUCAUGACGCUGGAAUCCCUAGUAAUCGGAAGUCAUCAUCUUCCGGUGAAUGUGUCCCUGCUCCUUGCACACACCGCCCGUCAAACCACUCGAGCAGGGUUUAGGUGAGCCUUAACUUUCUUGGUUAAGUCGAAUCUAAGCUCAGUGAGAUGGGUUAAGUCGUCACAAGGUA